AAUAGUGAAUAUGUUCGAUCCAUUUAUUUUUUUGGAGCUUUUGCUUUUGUGUUGUUUUCGUAUUCAGUUUUCACUUGGAAAAGUAAAUACUACAACCUGGGAGAGGAAAUCAGCUCAAUUAUCGAAAAAAGAAAUCUGGACCCGGUUAAGAAAAUAAUUUAUGAAAAAUCUCUACGAAGAAUUGACGUGGCGACCAAAUUCUUUUUUAAAUUGACAUUUAAGAUAGUUACACCGAUAUUUAUGAUCGUACCUGUUGGUUUGUCAUGUUUCUGGUAUAUUUCGUUGGGCUACAACAAUGAAUCAUUUGUACAAGUGUAUCCCGCAACGUAAGUAAAUUUUGAAAUUGUGUACCACUUGGAAAAUUGUUACGGCUAAUUUCAUUCUUCCAAGGUAUCCAUUUAACUGGCGAACACCAAUUGGGUAUUUGGCAGUCAUAAUUAUACAGACAACAACAUUUAUAAUAGGUUCUUUAAUGGCGAUGAUAUUUAUUUCGAGCGUCGGAUACUGUAUGCUAUCGAUAGAUCUCACUUCUGAUCUCAAAGAAUGCGUACGUGAAAUUGGCGAUGGUUUAGCUUCAAUGAAAAAAUUAAACCGACAAAGGAGAACACGUGUGCAAAUUCAAAUGACGCAAAAACUUGUAGAAUUCGUCGACUUUUAUUCGGAAGCGAGGGAGUUGAGUGUGAUAUUUUUGAUAAUAAAUAGUAUUUAUUUAUUAAAUACCAGAAAAUUAAUAUUUAAUUAUUAUGUAGGUUCGUCAAAAGCUUCUCUGCAAUCAAUCAACCACUUGCCUUAGGUUAUUUUCUGUUUGUUAUUGUUAGUCUCUGCGCCCUAUUUCUUCAAAUCAACACGAUAGUUGAAACUGGCAGCUCUGCUUUUAUUUUGCAAGUCUUAUUUGCUUUGCUAUACAUCGUAUUCUUGCUGUUUGCAAUAUGCUACACGGGACAGCAAGUGACAAAUGGAUUUGAUGACAUUGCCGAUCUGUUGUAUCAGAUUGAUUGGUAUCGCCUACCAAUGAACAUCCAGAAGUAUAUGCCCAUGAUAUUGGCUGUGUCACAGAAGAAAGUUCGCAUCGCAGCUUAUGGCUCAAUUCGUUGUAAUUUUCUAACUUUCAGAGCGAUAAUAGACAAAGUAUAUUCACUUUAUGCGGUGUUUAGAGAACUACAAUUAUAAUUCAAUGGAGAUUCAAGUUGCAUGAAAGAUGACCGAC
Contarinia nasturtii (swede midge) is the source of this 1207-nucleotide long non-coding RNA. RefSeq lists it as uncharacterized. Lineage: Eukaryota; Metazoa; Arthropoda; Insecta; Diptera; Cecidomyiidae. The transcript has 4 exons. The record is from RefSeq and is a predicted model, not a curated record.